UCUGGGAAACUGCCCUGAUGGAUGGGGAUAACUACUGGAAACCGUAGCUAAUACCGCAUAACGGCGCAAGACCAAAGAGGGGGACCUUCGGGCCUCUUGCCAUCGGAUGUGCCCAGAUGGGAUUAGCUAGUAGGGGGGGUAACGGCUCACCUAGGCGACGAUCCCUAGCUGGGCUGAGAGGAUGACCAGCCACACUGGAACUGAGACACGGUCCAGACUCCUACGGGAGGCAGCAGUGGGGAAUAUUGCACAAUGGGCGCAAGCCUGAUGCAUCCAUGCCGCGUGUAUGAAGAAGGCCUUCGGGUUGUAAAGUACUUUCAGCGGUCAGGAAGGCGAUAAGGUUAAUAACCUUGUCGAUUGACGUUACCCGCAGAAAAAGCACCGGGCUAACUCCGUGCCAGCAGCCGCGGUAAUACGGAGGGUGCAAGCCGUUAAUCGGAAUUACUGGGGCGUAAAGCGCACCAUGCGGUCUGUUCAAGUCGGUAUGUGAAAUCCCCGGGCUCAACCUGGAGAACUGCAUUCGAAACUGGCAGGCUGAGUCUGAUGAGGGGGGUAGAAUUCCAGG
RNAcentral lists this ribosomal RNA (565 nucleotides) under uncultured bacterium. Its description in RNAcentral is "bacterial SSU rRNA". It matches the Rfam family "Bacterial small subunit ribosomal RNA", at positions 116 to 673 of the family's 1533-position model. The record is from RNAcentral.